CAUGGAGUAUGAUUUCAAGACUUGCUGCUAUCGAAUACAGAUCGCCCCGUGAUCAAUUUGAUAGAUUAUUAACGUUUAUUAAUACCUAAAGUUGGUUUAGAAAAGUAGUUUGAAGUGAUUUGUAAAAGUAUAUAGGCAACUUUUGUAAUUUUAAAAAGUGACGUUGCGUCUUGUAAAGGGGCAUUUUUCUGGAUCAGACCGGUCUUCAGCAAAUCACAUUUUGGGUAUACAAUGAUGGAUUUAAUCGGGAAAAAGACCCAAUUGUGAUGUUUAUGUGACAUAUAGGAGUGCCAAGAAAGAAGCUCGUCAAAGGUAUUUUCAUAGCUACCAUGCUGUCGCUGUUAGCUAGCUAAUGCUAGCAUCGCUAGCUAACCUCAUAUCUGGAUGCCUGGAAGGUUCCCGAAAGUGAGCAGCAUACUGGCCCUCCAUUCCCAAACCUGAAGCCAACUGUUCCCAGCAGGAAAGACCAGGAAAAGGUGUUUAAGUUACAACUUCCUAUUGAAGAAAUGUAAGACAACUCAAUGUCAUAUUUACUGACAUGAAAAGGAGCAUAUACACGCAAUCUAUCAAAUGUAUUUUAUAAAGCCCCGUUUACAUCAGUAGUUGUCACAAAGUGCUUAAGCAGAUACCCAGGUUAAAACCCCAAAGAGCAAGCAAGCAGACGUAGAAGCACAGUGGCUAUGAAAAACUCCCUAGAAAGGCAGGAACCUAGGAAGAAACCUAGAGAGGAACCAGGCUCUGAGGGGUGGCCAGUCCUCUUCUGUCUGUGCUUGUGGAGAUUAUAAAAGAGUACAGCCAUUUAGGCCAGAUUAUUCUUAAAGCUGUUUCAGCGUUCACAGAUGACCAGCAGUGUUAAAUAAUAGAGAGUGCAAUAGUUCAGCACCUCAGGUGUAAAUGCCAGUUGGCUCUUCAUAGCUGAGCAUUUAGAGGUUGAGGCAGUAGGUCCAGUAGAGAGAGGCAGGAUCAAACAGCGGGUCUAGGACAAGGUAGUACCUCCGGUGAGCCUUGAGCAGGUCAGGGUUCCAUAGCUGCAGACAUAAACAGCAGAGACUGGAUCAGCAGCACGACCAGGUGGACUGGAGACGGGGAAAGCCAGGAGUCGUCAGGCCAGAAGGUCACACACGCAUAUCACAUUGCAAGGAUCUGCCACGCCCAGCAGUUCAGCUGCAGUCACAGCAGUCUUCUGCUGUGGUAGUUAAUUUACCAGCUGCACCAAUGCCUUCUACACUGGCCGUGAAAGGAGAAACUUAUGGGUAUUCCCAGAUGGAUACAGAUCUGCCAUGCACUCCACCACUGCCUGACAGCCUCACCCAGAAGUGCAUACACUGGGCCUAUCAGAGAUGGGUGUCUGACAAGGAAAAAUAAAACAUGCACACACACACACACAUCCACAAUGUAAAUAAGUUGUAAUUACUUGUUUAAUGUUUGCUCCAUUUUAUUGUAGGAUUGGAGAUAUCUACUCCCUCAUAGACAUGCUCAAUAUCUACAUAAUUACUCAAACUAUCUAUCAAAUCAAAGUGUGAUUGAUAAUAUUGUAAAAGACUUGCUUAAUAUGUAGUUUUAGGACAUUUUGUGUGCUUUUUUUCUGAGUUGAAAAACAUGCCUCAUACACACAUUAGACCCAAUGUAAAUCAGUUGUAAUAACUUGUUUAUUUUAAUGUAUGGUGAAUUUUAUUUGAGGAAAAUAUCUGCAAUAAAGUACAUUCACAGUUAAAGCAAUGUCCUAUUUCUCAGAAUACAAUGUGUGGCCAG
Long non-coding RNA from Oncorhynchus tshawytscha (Chinook salmon), 1752 nucleotides. The record is from Ensembl. NCBI's taxonomy places the organism in Eukaryota, Metazoa, Chordata, Actinopteri, Salmoniformes, Salmonidae.